Molecule: ribosomal RNA, 406 nt
Filed under: uncultured bacterium
Lineage: Bacteria
Description: partial 16S ribosomal RNA
Rfam family: Bacterial small subunit ribosomal RNA
Source: RNAcentral
GACGAACGCUGGCGGCGCGCUUAACACAUGCAAGUCGAGCGAAGCGGCGGACGGGUGAGUAACACGUGAGUAACCUGCCUUAGACCUUGGGAUAGCCUCGGGAACCCGGGAUUAAUACCAAAUGGUCUAAGAUGGACUCGCGUCCCAUUAGCUAGUUGGUGGGUAACGGCCCACCAAGGCGACGAUGGGUAGCCGGCCUCAGAGGGGUAACGGCCACAUUGUAACUGAGAAACAGUCCAAAAUCUACGGGAGGCAGCAGUGGCGAAUAUUGCAAAAUGGAGGGAACUCUGAUGGUGCGACGCCUGGUGAACGAAGGAGGCGUUCGAGUCGGAAAGUUCUUUUAUAUGGGAAGCGGUACCAGAAGAAAAAGCCCCGGCUAACUACGUGCCAGCAGCCGCGGUAAUAC